This 433-nucleotide ribosomal RNA is filed under the name uncultured bacterium. RNAcentral describes it as "bacterial SSU rRNA". It matches the Rfam family "Bacterial small subunit ribosomal RNA", at positions 355 to 786 of the family's 1533-position model. The record is from RNAcentral.
UGAGGAAUAUUGGUCAAUGGGCGGGAGCCUGAACCAGCCAAGCCGCGUGAGGGAAGAAGGCCCUAUGGGUCGUAAACCUCUCUUGUCAGGGAACAAAAGCGAGUAUGUAUACUAGUCUGAGUGUACCUGAAGAAAAAGCAUCGGCUAACUCCGUGCCAGCAGCCGCGGUAAUACGGAGGAUGCGAGCGUUAUCCGGAUUUAUUGGGUUUAAAGGGUGCGUAGGCGGCGGUGCAAGUCAGCGGUAAAAGCCCGGGGCUCAACCCCGGCGAGCCGUUGAAACUGCAGUGCUAGAGAAGGCGAGAGGUACGCGGAAUGCGCAGUGUAGCGGUGAAAUGCUUAGAUAUUGCGCAGAACUCCGAUUGCGAAGGCAGCGUACUGGCGCCUGACUGACGCUGAGGCACGAAAGCGUGGGGAUCGAACAGGAUUAGAUACC